This 430-nucleotide long non-coding RNA is filed under the name Coffea arabica (coffee). RNAcentral describes it as "long non-coding RNA (CARA_LNC004272)". The record is from RNAcentral. Lineage: Eukaryota; Viridiplantae; Streptophyta; Magnoliopsida; Gentianales; Rubiaceae.
CUGCUUUAAGAAACUAAUUCCUACUAUAUUUAGGCUAGUUGUUUGGAAAGCUAUAAAUAGGAGAGUUAUUUAGAAUGUUUUUAGAAUUAGAAAACACUAAGUUAGCAUUAGUUCAUCUUUAUAACUUGUUCUUGAGAGAUCAAGAUCAAGAGAUAUGCAAGCAAGAGUCAAGGAGCAAUCAACAUGGGGAUUAGGGCAUCAAAGAUUGAGAAGUUUUUCUUACUUUAUUCUCCAAAAUUGUAUUUGUUGCUUGAAUUUUUGGAUUUAUCAAUGGUUUUAUCUAUGUUUAUGUUGAAUUAAUUUGUCUCUAGGGCUAAAGUUUUAUGAAAGAGUAUUGUUUAUUUAUCCUAGUUAAAUUCUUUUCUUUUGCCUUAAUUUAUUUAACUUGUUUUAACUAGAUAUUUAUGUUUAGAUAUGCUUUUAGGAUCUG